CCUACGGGGGGCAGCAGUGAGGAAUAUUGGUCAAUGGGCUUACGCCUGAACCAGCCAAGUCGCGUGAGGGAAGACUGCCCUAUGGGUUGUAAACCUCUUUUGUCAGGGAGCAACGCCGGCUACGUGUAGCCGGACUGAGAGUACCUGAAGAAAAAGCAUCGGCUAACUCCGUGCCAGCAGCCGCGGUAAUACGGAGGAUGCGAGCGUUAUCCGGAUUUAUUGGGUUUAAAGGGUGCGUAGGCGGAAUGCAAAGGUAGCGGUAAAAGCUCGGGGCUCAACCUCGCUCCGCAGUUGAAACUGGCGUUCUUGAGUGGGCGAGAGGUAGGCGGAAUGCGUGGUGUAGCGGUGAAAUGCAUAGAUAUCACGCAGAACUCCGAUUGCGAAGGCAGCAUACCGGCGCCCAACUGACGCUGAGGCACGAAAGCGUGGGUAUCGAACAGGAUUAGAUACCCCGGUAGUC
RNAcentral lists this ribosomal RNA (460 nucleotides) under uncultured bacterium. RNAcentral describes it as "partial 16S ribosomal RNA". It matches the Rfam family "Bacterial small subunit ribosomal RNA", at positions 338 to 795 of the family's 1533-position model. The record is from RNAcentral.